UACGGAGGGUGCAAGCGUUGUUCGGAAUCACUGGGCGUAAAGCGCGUGUAGGCGGCCUCUUAAGUCUGGUGGGAAAGCCCGGGGCUCACCCCCGGAAGGGCACUGGAUACUGGGAGGCUAGAGUACCGGAGAGGAGGGUGGAAUUCCUGGUGGAGCGGGGAAAUGGGGAGAUAUCCGGGGGAACCCCGGUGGGGAAGGCGGGCCUCUUGACGGCUACUGACGCCGAGGCGCGGAAGCGUGGGGAGCAAACAGG
Molecule: ribosomal RNA, 253 nt
Filed under: uncultured bacterium
Lineage: Bacteria
Description: partial 16S ribosomal RNA
Rfam family: Bacterial small subunit ribosomal RNA
Source: RNAcentral